RNAcentral lists this ribosomal RNA (247 nucleotides) under uncultured bacterium. Its description in RNAcentral is "partial 16S ribosomal RNA". It matches the Rfam family "Bacterial small subunit ribosomal RNA", at positions 523 to 769 of the family's 1533-position model. The record is from RNAcentral.
AUACGUAGGGUGCGAGCGUUAAUCGGAAUUACUGGGCGUAAAGCGUGCGCAGGCGGUUAUGUAAGACAGAGGUGAAAUCCCCGGGCUCAACCUGGGAACGGCCUUUGUGACUGCAUGGCUAGAGUGCGGCAGAGGGGGAUGGAAUUCCGCGUGUAGCAGUGAAAUGCGUAGAUAUGCGGAGGAACACCGAUGGCGAAGGCAAUCCCCUGGGCCUGCACUGACGCUCAUGCACGAAAGCGUGGGGAGC